This 253-nucleotide ribosomal RNA is filed under the name uncultured bacterium. Its description in RNAcentral is "partial 16S ribosomal RNA". It matches the Rfam family "Bacterial small subunit ribosomal RNA", at positions 524 to 776 of the family's 1533-position model. RNAcentral also lists the same sequence under 1 other name. The record is from RNAcentral.
GACGAACCGUGCGAACGUUGUUCGGAAUCACUGGGCUUAAAGGGCGCGUAGGCGGGCUGCCAAGUCCGGGGUGAAAUCCCACGGCUCAACCGUGGAACGGCCCGGGAUACUGGCGGCCUCGAGGGGGGUAGGGGCCCGCGGAACUAUGCGUGGAGCGGUGAAAUGCGUUGAUAUGCAUAGGAACUCCGGUGGCGAAGGCGGCGGGCUGGACCCCUUCUGACGCUGAGGCGCGAAAGCCAGGGGAGCGAACGGG